Molecule: non-coding RNA, 207 nt
Organism: Oryza glaberrima (African rice)
Lineage: Eukaryota; Viridiplantae; Streptophyta; Magnoliopsida; Poales; Poaceae
Source: Rfam
AAUAAGUGUAAUUUUAAUAUUAUUUAUGUUCAACGUUUGAUCGUUCGUCUUAUUUGAAAAAAUAAUUAUGAUUAAUAUUUUUAUUGUUAUUAGAUGUUAAUACAUGAAUAGUACUUUAUGUGUGACUAAUAUUUUUAAUUUUUUUUAUAAAAUUUUCAAAUAAGACAGACGGUCAAAACGCUAGAUAUAGAUGUGGCUAUACUUAUU